CGUUCAUUUUAACAUUUACUUACCGAAAAAUUCAGUUGCUCCUUUAACUAUCAAUGAAAGUUCUUUAUAUCAUGACAAUUAUCAAACCAAAUAACAUGGCAUAUCAUUAUCAACCUCCUCAACAAAAAUAAAAAUGACCUUUUUACAUUCGGGUAGGGUUUGGGUAUGGGUACAUAUAUCCCCGUUAAUCGUCCGAUACCCAUAUUUUAAAAUCGAAGAAAACCCAAACUCAUACCCAAACCCAGUCAAAUCGGGAAAAACCCGUCAAAUCGGGGUUGGUUUGGGCAGGUACCCAUGGGCACGGGUUUUGUUGUCAUGCCUACUAUCUGAGCCUAAGACUCGUGGACCACCAGUUAUCAAGUUUCUCCAUCGAAUCAUCCAUCAUUUAUAUCCAUACAUCAAGCUCUCAAUAAUGCGGGACGUGUGGGUGUGUAUUGAAGAGUCUCAAAUGGGAUGAUAGAUUAUCUGAACAAGUGUUUUAUAAGUAGAAGGAGUCAUCGCCUCACAAGCAAAUUUGUAAGGAUGAGUCAGACUCAAAUUUCAAGGUUUAGUAUGUUUGACUCCAAAUGUCAUUUUUACUCUAAAAUUUAGUAAUGCAACUCACUUUUAGGCGAAUGUGUCUAAACAUAAACCGCCUAACAUUCAACUAACUUGCUUUAUCUCGAUUAUACAAUCAAAUCCAAUUUUCGAAAGCAUAAAGUUGAAAUGCAAUCAGAAUUUUCAAUCAAAAAAUUUAUCGCUCAAGCAUACUUGCAUAAAGAUACAAAUAGCUUCUUAUUACUAAAAUAAUGAAUGUCAGUUGGACAAUUUCAUUUGUACUUUCCCUUUAGAUAAUUUUUUUUGAGCUAAUGGUGCUUUACCCCCUGUAAUAUAGGUCAUUUUUAGUUUUCCUCCCUGUAAAAUAUUUUUUUUGAUUUACCCCCUAUAAUUUUAUUUUUUUGGAAUACCCCCCUAAUAGAUCAUAAAAAAACGAAAAAUUCUGCAAAAAAAAAAAAUAAAGUUUAUGAUCUAUUAAGGGGGUAUUCCAAAAAAAAAAAAAUUACAGGGGAAAACAAAAAAUUACUUAUAUUACAAGAGGUAAAGCACCAUUAACCCUUUUUUUGACAAAAUUCCCUUUAGAUAAAUAGAAUUUAGUAGAGAACUGUAAUUAAAUAAAAUAUAAUGAUAAUAAAUUCUGUAAUCGAGAUAAAAUAAAAUCACCGUUCUCUUUUUCCCUAACAUGAGGACCUCGAUAAUGGAAUGCGCAUGAAAUAAAAUCAUCAUUCUAUUAUGAUACAAGCAUAUAAAUCGAUCUCAAUUCAGCAUUAAUAUAUGCCACAGCAUAAUGAAAACAAAACUAGAAAGCAGAAAUAAGUGCAAAACAAAAUUGUAUUUACAUAAUAUUAUAACUGAUUGCCCAUUUACACCUACUCGUAAGUCAACUAUUUUACCAGACUAGAGGAAGUUCACAAGACUUAAUGCAAAAGUCAAAUAGUUUUGUCAAUUACAGAUGGAUUCAUUGCAUUCAUGCAUCACUAGAUGGUGGUCUGCGACCACGACCUCGAACAACCCGACCACGGGGAAUUCUGCCGCGACCUCUUGCUGUGGUGGAAAACACCCCAGCUUGUCCAGCUUGUCUCAAUUGAGCUCUCUCUCGGGCUCGCUCUUGUAAAUUAAUGGUAGUUGUAGUUGACAUAUCACUAAUUGGUGAUGUUGGCUUUACGGGUGAUGUUGGCUUUACGUCUUCUGUUUUAGAGGGAGACCUCGUCGCCCCUUGCUUUGAAACAGGUAAUUUUGAGGAACUACUUUCUGCAACGCUACUCUGCAAAUUACUCUCGCUCGCGACAGGUGCAGGCUCAACCACCUGAUCACUCUCAACUGAUGUUGCUUUGUUAACAUCAGCUAAUUUAUCAGAUCCAUCAGCAGCAUCCUCAGCCAAGUCACCUUCAUCAUUCUUAUCAUCGGUUGAAAUCUCAGGCGAAUUAAUCUCACCAGCCUCUAAAGCAUCAUCAUCAUCAACCCUAGCUGGGGAAGGUUCAGGAGUUGCCUCCCGAGAUUCUUGGUUUUCCAUGUUAGAUCCAUCAAAACCACCCUCAGGAUCUCCGGCUUCUGGCAACAUCUCUCCCUCUUCUGUCUCACUACUGAGAGGCAAUGUUGAUUGCUGGUUGUCUAUCUCAGUAUGAUCCCUCUGCAUCUCAUCAGACACCAUUUGUGUUUCUGUUGGUUGAUCCAGAUUCUCUUCUGAAACUCCAGUCUUGUCAUCUUGUAAUUCCUCUUGACCAGAACCAUCCAUGUUUGGUGGAUCUUCGGAUUCUUCGUCCUUCCCCACAGCAUUCUCAUCAUCAUUUUGAGCCUCACCUACUUCCUCAUUUUGGCCUUGUGGCAACUCACCACUUUCAAAUGAUUCUUCAGCAACUGGAUGACUGCAAGUGAAUUCUGGGGUUGUAGCAGGUUGUUCUUCGCCGCUGUCUUCUGGAAACUCAGAUCCUUUGGGCUUCUUUAACGCAGGUGCUGCUACAUCAGAGCUCUUCUCACCAGGUGCCGAAGAUUCUUCACGCAACUCAGAUGUUGAGGUGGGAGCAACACGUUUCCGAGCCACUGGUUGAGAUGAUGUACCAAAAUUGCUUUGGGUUUCUGCGUCACUAGAAGGUCCAGGUUUGUUGCCCCCAAGUCCUUCAGCAUCAGACAUUUCAGUGUCCCCUUGUGGUUCAUCUGGCUUUACUAGUCGUGGCCUGACCAGUCUCCUACCAGUUUUACGAGUUUCAUUACUAGAUUUCGUCAGUGCAAGCCUUUUCUCACUUUCUCCAGUGGCCUUAGGUGGUAAACUGCUUGUCACAGGGGCCGUUGAGGGUAAUAUGCUUGGAGGUUGAGUGUGGACCAGAGAACCUGCCAUGAUGCGAUUAUUAUAUAAGUAUAUGAAGGAUUAUAAGAACCAUUACAAAUUCACAACAUAUUGAAAACUGCAUACUUUCCGUCUCAUCCUUUGUAAACUCUUCUUUGAAAUACUUGCAUUUAAAACAAUCAUGCUGUAAGGGAUGUAUAAAACGAUAAAAUAACCUGUAGCAGCUGCUGAGCUAUCUGUAAUUGUUGAUGGAUCACCAAGAGUGACACAUACUGCAUGAGCUUCCUUUUCAAAAUUUUCAACAGCAGCCAUAUAAGGAGCAGAGAAGUCAUCAACAUUGGAUCUCGAAAGAAGUUGAGCAGCAUUGGUUCCCUAAGAAAUAGCAAAAAAAGGAAUGGCAAAGUGAACUAAUAUGCAUUAAGAAUUAUUGAUUGAUAAAAUAUAAAUAUAUAUAUUACAGUAACAUUUUGGUUGAAUAAAAUAAUAUUUUUUGUUGUUUGUUCUUUAAUUUUUUGCUGUUUCAAAUUUUAAAUUUCUUUAUUUAUUUUAGUUCUACUGUCAGACUCUCCAAGUGAUGACCAGGAGGCUAAUAGAAGUCCGUCAAAUUCAGUUGCGGCAACGUGGCAUCAAAUCACCUCACAAUCAGCAAAAUCCCUCCCCAUGCAUAUUAUGAACCACAUACAUCAUUAAAUGAAUGAACCUAAAAAGUCAAUUUUGCUUAAAUUUAAAGACGGAGGGAGUAUUUGAUAAUUUUUCAGGUGUCUAGUUUUCUUUUUCCUUUGUUUUGGUUAUUUAAGUCAAAUAUAAUAGCAAACAAUCGAGAUACAUAAUAAUACCAAUAAGCCAAAUCACGUCUGUCCACUCAAAAUUAGUACAGUUGAACAAAAAUUCCUUUUUUAAAAUCAUGUACCUCAGGAAGAUUACCAACAAGAGUCUUAAGCUUUUCAACUUCAUCAGACAAUCGCUUCAGCGCCUCCUUAUGCCUCUCGAGGUCAUUAACAAACUGUUUUCUCUCCUGAAAGUAAAUAAACAAAUAUGGUUGAUAGGACUGGACAAAAGUAAAGGAAAAAAACAAGAUUCCGGUAUCUCAUUAAUUCUACUGAAUAAGUGAAUUAUCGGCAGUAAUUGAAUUGACACAGAUACAACAUUUUGUCAAUGCACUGAUGUCAGAUAUGUAUCCGUUUAACAUAAGUUGGGAAUUGGGAUACACCGAUGAUAAUCUGGCAGAAAUCCUAACCUUGAUAGCACAUGUAACUAGCAAGCUAGACACAUGACAUACCUGUGCUUCUAUUUACACUAACAUGGAAAUAUGGUUUGAUAUCGUUCACGAUUAUACACGAACAUGGAAAACCAAGACUAUAAAGUUCAAUUUAAUACAAAAAAGAGUGUACAAUAACUGUAGAUAAUUAUGGGAAGUGAUCAGAAUUGAUUUUCUUUUCUAACUUGUAUUUAUCAGUUGACUUGAACAAUUUGAAUUAUAGGAAACUGUAUAUUCCUCCUGAUUCUUCGGGUUAGAAUUAAUUACAAGAUCAACAAUUCUGGUACUAUUUGAAUUCAUCGAGUUCAUCAAGUGAAAACAGUCUUCCAUUUUUCCGCAUUCAUCUUUAUACUAACAAGAAUCCAAAUCUGAAUAAAAAACCGGCAAAACAAAUCAUAAUAAUUGAAUAGUAAUAUGAAAAUUAUAAUACAUUUUCAUAACUUCAAACAUAAUUGAUGUGCCAACAACAUAUUUUCCUACAUUAUCAGAGUUGUUGUCUCAUUAUAUGCCUAAAUGUUAAGGAUGCUUCGAUUCACCAGAUUGUGUAUCUAACAUUAAUUGGUGAUUAGAUAACAUAGUUUUCUAGUCAUACCAACAAACAACCAAUUGUUUCACACAAGGUAGGUAUAGCUACAUGGAUCAAAACGUGCAAUAAACUCUGUAAAAAAAUAUCAAUAUCUCCAUUCCGAAACACUACUAAUAAUCAAGUGCAUUUAAAAAUAUAUUUUCAUUUUCUUGAAAUAUAUGGAACUAUAGCAUCUAAUUAAGAAGAAGAAGAAGAAAAACAGAAGCAAAAUUUAUAUGGUGAAGUGGCAAAUACCAGGUCAAUAUUUUUGUAAGAGUCCGCUAUGGCCUUUUCAUUUUUCAGUCGCCUAUUUCUCUCCGCAGUUUUGUCUUCCUUCUCCUUGUUUAAGUCAGCUCUCACUCUCUCCAGAGUUCUUUCCAGCAUCUAGCAAACAGAAAGUUGAAUCACUUGUUUUCCUUCAUCCUAAAAACCGGGAAACAAUCCAAACACUAACCUGUAUUCUGGUGUCCUUUUCUUGAUUCAUCGCUUGUUCACCAGCUGUAUCACCUGUUGAUCUUUUCCCUAAUAUACACCAUACAACUUUAAGAAUGCAUUCCGCGAAAGAAUAGUAUCAGAUUUUUAUAUUGGGUCUAACUCAUCCUUACAAUACCGGCUUGUAAGGUGAGGGGUGCCUCUUUUUAUAAUCACCACACAGGCCAUAUCUCUAAGCAAUGUGGGACUAAACCCACCCCUUCAAACUCAACACAAUAAAGGUGUUGAAUGCUGCCAUCAAGGCAACCCAAAUGCCACGAUUAGGCGGCUAGGGGCAGACCGCAAUGAAGGCAGAAUUUCCAAUAAUAUUAAAAAGGUACAAAAUCUUAGAAUGUGUAAUUACCUUGUUGUUUAAUUUCAUCUAACUGUCUAGAAAGCUGCUGAUUCUCUUUCCCUAGCUCUUCCUUUUCCUUAUUUAACUGUCCAGAAAGUUGCUGAUUCUCUUUCACCAGCUCUUCCUUUUCCGUAUUUAAUGCCUCAAUCCUUCUCUGAAAGUACGAAAAAGGAAACAGAGAAUGAAAACAAAUGCGAAACUGGAAUUAUCAAUAAAAAAAUAUGUACAUUACAGUGACAAAUAGAAAAUACCACUCACCUUAAAAUGGGCCAGCAGUUUCCUAUUCUUAUCCACAUCCUGUUUAUGGUUAGCCUGUUUGAACAACCAUAUAACAACAGUUUGUAAACAAAACAAAAUACUCUUUUCCAAUUAUUUAAAAUUAAGACAGAAUAUGUCAAAGACCUCAAUUUUUGGAAUUUCAUUAAUUCUCUUCUCUUUUUCCACAAGUUCCAAUCUGCAGUUUGAAAGGUCUUGCUCUAAACGUGAAAAAGAUUCCUGUUUUUCUGAAAGAAUUUUACUAGUUUCCUCAAUCUGAGCAUCCCUGUCUCUUAGUUUACCCUGACAAGAAAAAUGAAGAUAUUUCUUCAAAUAGAGUAUAAAAAAAUUGAAAACAUAACAAGCAUGCCUCUGUGCCCAGAAUCCUAGACAAUAACAAAUGAUUUGCAACUUAAUUCAAGUAUAACAACUUCCAAAUCAAGUGCAUAUCAAUGUUCAAAUAAUCAGGCAUGUAUUCCAAGACGAGUAUAUGUUGCAAAUUGCAAACAUAGAUGUAGAACCAUCAUACUUCGUGUUUCACUUAUUGAAUAUUUUAAAUAUGUACAAGCAUGUUACUAUUUUGAAUAGUUAAAUUAGAUGCAAAACAACAACUAGAAUAAUUGAACAGUAAAAAGAAACACAAUGCAACUAAAUUUGUGAGACAACUCCAUUUUCAGUUUUAUUCAACAGGUAACACAUUUUCAGGGGACUAACAGAUUUCGUGUAUAAAAGGAAAAGGAACUCUUCAAAAUAAAUGGCUAGACAACUCCAAAGGGUGAGAGACAAGAAUAUGGAAAACAAUGAAAUUCACUAUAACAACCUGCAAAUCUUGUACAAGUUUCUUCACUCGAUCAUAAUCCUCCGCAUCAACAUUUUUACACCUUUCAAGCAACUUAAGAUGAUAAAACAGAAAGUAAAUUAGAAAUAACAGUGGAGGUGCACUAUAAAAGUGUAAAGCUCGUUAAUAAAUUUCUGGUCUUUCAAAAUGAAAUACCUCUGAAACCUUGUAAUUGAGAUGUUCCUUUUCCGUUUUUAGUGUUUCAAUCUCUUUUUUCUGGCCUUCCAGUUCACUUUCUCUUUCCCUUACAAGAUUCUCUAGAUUAUCUCUGGCAGUUCUUGCCUGUUCUGCUAGUUCACGCAAUUUCUAACAAACAAUCAACAAAUAUUUUAUCAGUCAUAAGAGAACCAUGUCUGAGAUGAGGUUUCUUAGCUUAUCAACAGCAUUUCUAUGAACUGUAAUGAUGAAAUAACAACAGAAUCGGAAGACCCAGAAGAAAGUAUGGUGGAUGAAAUAUCUGAAUACCUGACAUUCCUCAAAAUUGUGCUUAUUUUCUUCCCUGAGCUGCAUAUUACUCUCACGAAGCAAGUUCAUUUCCCUGACCUAGAAAUGAUUUUCACAAAGCAACCCAUUACUGAAUUGAUCAAAAUAACAUCAUCUGGAAACACUUUUACUAGGUAAAGAUCAACAUCUUAUAUUAUUAUCAAUAAACAUGAAAAAUGAAUGAAUUUAGUUCCUGAAAAUAGGAUCAUCAACCUGAAGUUGUAAGGAUUUGAUUUCUUCUUCAGUAAACAUAAAUGAUCUUGAUUUUACACGCUGAGCUUCUAGAGAUGCAUGAGCAGAUUCUGCUGACUUCAAAGCACUCUCAAGCUACAGAGAAUCACGAGGUCAAACAACAAUAUACCACUUCAAAACCAUCAGAAAGUUUACAAAACCAAACACAAUUAGCAAUUAGUUCAUGUAUUAUCAGAAAAACUGUUACUGGAUAAGAGAUUACGACAGGUACAAAGCUCUUUCUAAUUAAUAGAGAUUAAUAUCAUGAGAUUAGAUGAAAAUAAGCACAACUACUUAAGUUUCGGACUUCACUCAAUUUUACAAAACCCACUUCUAAUAUGCCAAAUUGUCAUUUAUAAUCUCUCAGAAGAUUUUGUCUAAAGUUAAUGAGGGACUUGUAUUCCCCAAUACACCUGCAAAGACCCAACACAAUUUGGAUUGGUGUGGAUAAGAUGGUGGAUGAUACCAUAGAUCUAGGAUAUGACCAGAUGCCAUUUGAGGGUUUUCGAUUAAAAUCAACCCCAGAUAACCGGUUUUUAGGGUGACGGUUUAUAGUCAAUCUUGGACUUGCCUUUUCACAAUAAAACUCGAGCCAGAAAACAGGACAAAAUGAGAAUAUUGUUUAACAACUCCUAAUGGAGGUAGAGAUAUGAAAUACCAACUUAAGUUUGAUGAGCAUACACCAAGUUAUACGAAAUAUAACAACAGCAUGUGUACAAAUAUUACCUGUGACUGUAAUCGCAGCUUUUCCUGUUUUAAUAAUGAAACUUCUGUUUCUGCCUGUUAAAGAAUAUACAAAGUAUUAAAUAACAAGAUAUGAACAAAGAAUUGAAAGAAAGAGAGAAUAUCAGCAACACAAAGGUGUUUACAA
Molecule: long non-coding RNA, 8148 nt
Filed under: Medicago truncatula (barrel medic)
Lineage: Eukaryota; Viridiplantae; Streptophyta; Magnoliopsida; Fabales; Fabaceae
Description: long non-coding RNA (MTRU_LNC008587)
Source: RNAcentral